UACGUAGGGUGCGAGCGUUAAUCGGAAUUACUGGGCGUAAAGCGUGCGCAGGCAGUUAUGCAAGACAGAUGUGAAAUCCCCGGGCUCAACCUGGGAACUGCAUUUGUGACUGCAUAGCUAGAGUACGGUAGAGGGGGAUGGAAUUCCGCGUGUAGCAGUGAAAUGCGUAGAUAUGCGGAGGAACACCGAUGGCGAAGGCAAUCCCCUGGACCUGUACUGACGCUCAUGCACGAAAGCGUGGGGAGCAAACAGG
This 253-nucleotide ribosomal RNA is filed under the name uncultured bacterium. RNAcentral describes it as "partial 16S ribosomal RNA". It matches the Rfam family "Bacterial small subunit ribosomal RNA", at positions 524 to 776 of the family's 1533-position model. The record is from RNAcentral.